RNAcentral lists this transfer RNA (65 nucleotides) under Stigmella roborella. RNAcentral's name for it is "tRNA-Ile". Lineage: Eukaryota; Metazoa; Arthropoda; Insecta; Lepidoptera; Nepticulidae. The record is from RNAcentral.
AAUAAAGUGCCUGAUUAAAGGAUUAUUUUGAUAGAAUAAAAAAUGUAGAUUUUCUACCUUUAUUA